GACAAAAUGGUGGAUUUCCUUUGCCUAUCUGUCAUUUCGUCUACUCUUCCGUGGAAAGAAACGGUUUCUUUGGUAACCAUGCUAAAGGCCUGCAGUGAAACAGGGGA
Molecule: long non-coding RNA, 107 nt
Organism: Aricia agestis (brown argus)
Lineage: Eukaryota; Metazoa; Arthropoda; Insecta; Lepidoptera; Lycaenidae
Exons: 3
Source: RefSeq, a predicted model, not a curated record